RNAcentral lists this unclassified non-coding RNA (348 nucleotides) under soil metagenome. Its description in RNAcentral is "partial contains 5.8S ribosomal RNA, internal transcribed spacer 2, and large subunit ribosomal RNA". The stretch from base 1 to 120 matches the Rfam family "5.8S ribosomal RNA", at positions 35 to 154 of the family's 154-position model. The record is from RNAcentral.
GAUGAAGAACGCAGCGAAAUGCGAUAAGUAAUGUGAAUUGCAGAAUUCAGUGAAUCAUCGAGUCUUUGAACGCACAUUGCGCCCCCUGGUAUUCCGGGGGGCAUGCCUGUCCGAGCGUCAUUGCUGCCCUCAAGCACGGCUUGUGUGUUGGGCCCCCGUCCCAGGUUUCCCCCGGGGACGGGCCCGAAAGGCAGCGGCGGCACCGCGUCCGGUCCUCGAGCGUAUGGGGCUUUGUCACCCGCUCUGUAGGCCCGGCCGGCGCCAGCCGACACCCAACUUUAUUUCUAAGGUUGACCUCGGAUCAGGUAGGGAUACCCGCUGAACUUAAGCAUAUCAAUAAGCGGAGGA